Long non-coding RNA from Gallus gallus (chicken), 2365 nucleotides. RefSeq lists it as uncharacterized. The record is from RefSeq and is a predicted model, not a curated record. NCBI's taxonomy places the organism in Eukaryota, Metazoa, Chordata, Aves, Galliformes, Phasianidae. The transcript has 3 exons.
UCAUUUAGUUCAGGAGAAAAGGAAGGGUGAUUAUUCUGUUGUAUCAUGAACAAAAGGAACUGUCUUCACAGAAUUCAAGGCUCCGAGCUCAGUAAUGAUGCACAGACUUCUAUGCAUGAAACCAAACAGGUCAGACCAAGGUCUUGGGAUCCUUUCUCAUCAGUGAUGGAGGAAUCAAGGACAGGAUGUGGCUCAAGCUUCCCGGCAAAACUGAGGAUUGAUUAAGAGCUAGAACAUGACUUAGACUGGAUGUUGGGAAUGAGGAAAGACAGGAAGAGCUGGAGAAAGGGCUCUCCUGCCGCUGCUGCUCCUUGACAGUCUGCUGCCAUAGAUAACUGGCUGUAUACUUGGAGAACUUGACUUCAACAAUUAGUCUUGAUGACUCCAGUUUACUUACCAUCCUGAAUUAUCCUGAGGCAAUGACAUACAGCACAAUGUGCUGGGUGCAAGAGGGUAAGCCAUUUUCUGCUGACCACCUCUCUUCCAAGCUGUGAUACCUUCAUAAAACUCCUUCGUGCUUUGUAUUGCUGCUAGUCACACUGUAGGGUGAAGUGCCAAAAUCUGCUGUAGGGAGUGACAUCAAGAGCAGCAAGAUCUACUCCAGCAUUCACCUAUGCAGGACAGUGUUCCCUGCUUCCCAGAGCAGCUCUGUGUUUGCUAUCAGCAUCUAGUGGGAGGAAAUGCCAGCUCUGAGUUCAACUGUAGAGCAAUAAAUCACACAGUGUACCUCAGCUUUAGUUGUUUCAUCUCUGCUCACGGCAAGCUCUGCUCCCAGCUAAUUGUCCAGGGGAGCUUAUUUCAACAUUUCUGGCAUUGACUUUUUUAGGAUCAUCUGUUCAUUAGCCUCUGAAUUUCUUUAGGUAAAAUCAGAGGAGCGCUUGACUAGGACCGCUGAGUUCAUCCAGUUCAUAUGGCUACAGCAGGUGUGGUGUGAAUCUGCCCCAGCAGAACAACCUGUCCCAGGGCAUGGACUCUAGCACUCAUCUGACUUGUCCAGUCCAGUUGUCUCAUGCCAAGAAAACAGAAGAGACAACGCCCAUGCCAUCUAGAGAAGAGCACAGGCUGAUGACAAUACCUGAUAGGUAGCAUGAAGGAGACCACCAUGUUCUGGUGGAAGAGAACCAAGCCUGAACAGCAUUAUUUCGUUCCAAGGCUAGAGAAUAUUUGUUAGUAGAACGGAUGAGGCUAUAGAGCCCAGAUAGAUUUGUAAAAAUACACUAAAGAAAUAUCACAGCUUCCCAGAAAGCUAUAAGAAACCAAAAACCUUCAACGGAAAAGUUUGAAAGCCACAAGGACUUGGAAGUCAUAUAACAAGAUGGCUGGAAGAAUCCAGAACAAGCACUUAUGUAGGAAUUAGAUCCUGCCUGAGAGCCAAGAAUAUGUGCUACGGUCAGAAGGUGCAGCUGUGGUUACCACCUGAAUUAGCACUAGGCCAUGUGGCUCAGACACCAGGAGCUCGGUAGCCACAUCACCUGGAUGAUCCAACAUCCUCAGGAACUUCCCAUUUCAGUGCACUAUGGGAGACAGCAGGAGACAGCAGCUGGGACAGGACCUAGUAAGGAACUGGAGAGACCAAUGGAUGUGCAAGGGACCAUGAGGCAACCAGACAAUGGGGGAUGAAGAAAGCAGGUAGAAGUAGCACACACACACUGAGUCCCCCAUGAGCUGUUAAUCCUCACCUAAAGUGCUUGUUCUUUCUAUACCCCAGCCUCCAAAAUGUCGUACCAAUAGAUCUGGACAGCCCAUUGGAACAGGCUGCCCGGGGAGGUGGUGGAGUCACCAUCCCUGGAGGUGUUUGAUAACCAUGGAGAUGUGACACUGAGGUGUUGCAGAUGAGGAACUGAACAACAAGAAGGAACAAGGUGAUUCUGGCAGGUUUCCUAAUGACUGAGGAAACAUCACUGCAACUUGGUGAACUGAGAAAUGAGGAGUGAGGGGGUGGAAAGGCUUGCUGUUUUCAGCUUUUGUCAUGAUUUUCUUUUUCGUUAAAGAUGUAUUUGAACAGCUCUCGGCAGGAGGCUGGAGCCAGGCUUUCAUUCUACCAUGCAGCUUACAGUGUCUUCACAAAUCCAUGCAGUCCCAAAAUACUUGCAAUCAUAAUUCAGCUCCAGGGCACUUAUUUAUUUACUGCAUUAUUGUGCAUCACUACGUGCCCUCAAGGCUCUACCUCUGAAAGGAAGAGGCACAGAAAGGAGCAGAGAAUGAAUGAGAUAAUAAUAAUUUCCUGAUUUAUGAAGGGCUGUUUUUUUUCUGUUGUUUUUGUUUAGUGCAUGUGUUUGUAUUUUGUUGUCAUUGUUUUGGUUUGCUUUUCUUGUGGAGAAGGCCCCUGUCCAAUAAAUCAAAUUCCUUAAGGAAUUUAAAGAAA